Molecule: RNA transcript, 1818 nt
Organism: Xenopus tropicalis (tropical clawed frog)
Lineage: Eukaryota; Metazoa; Chordata; Amphibia; Anura; Pipidae
Source: RefSeq, marked provisional
AGGUGUCAGUAUAGGCUUACAAACAAAACAAAGUGUGCACAUUCAGGGUUCCUUUAAGAGGCGGUCCUACAUUACAGGAAGACGGUAACUACGCACAAGAAGCAGCAUGGGUCCUAAUGCAAAGAUACAGAAGUUAUGAUGGCUUUGGUGAGUUACAGCAGUUCAGAAGACGAUGAGGGUGAAACAACUGAGCCACCAGGAAGAUUUCUUCCUCCUCUCCCCCCUCCAACAACUGUAUUAAGGAUGUUCCAAGAUAGGGAGGAUGAUGAGGGACUUGAUGACAGGACAAAACAUGGAGGAAGAAUUCGCAGCUUCACACAUGAGCGAGGCAACUGGGCCACCUAUGUCUAUAUACCUUUUCAGCCACAAGAUGAGUUUUUGGAUUUGGUGGAUGAACUUCUGUCUGUAGCUGCAGAGCAUGGAGUCUUCUUGACCAAAAUGAGUGAGUUCCAUAUCAGCCAGUCACAAACAGUUGUCCUUCGACAUCACUGGAUCAAUCCAUUCAUAGAAUCGCUCAAGGAUAAGCUGCACUGCAUGUACAGAUUUCUGUGCAUUGCUGAUCGGAUCAAGGUUUACACCAAUCAGGAGAAAACCAGAACAUUCCUGGGGCUAGAGGUCAGCGUGGGGUCGGAACAUCUUUUAGAAGUUGUGUCAGAAGUGGACCAGUCCUUGAAGGAAUUCAAUCUGCAAACAUUCUAUGAGGAGCCUUCCUUUCAUAUGAGCCUUGCUUGGUGUGUGGGGGACAAAGCUGGGAAAUUAGAAGGAAGUUGUCUGGUAGAACUUCAGAAAGUCAUCGACAGAUUUGAGGAUUCUGACAUACUGACACGAUUUAAUGCUGAAGAGAUUCGCUGCAAAGCUGGAAACAAAACUUUUUGUAUCCCUCUGCUAUAAAGCCUGAUUAGGGAAACUGCCUCUACAUUUUUCCAAGGACAAGUUGAUAUAUAAAUAACAAAUGGAGGAGGGUCUUGAAAGCUGAAGCUCAAGUCAGAUACACUGCAGAAGGCAUAGACAAGCUGACACUUCGGCUGUUGUAGAACUGCACUGCAAAGCAUUCUGGGAGUUGGUUUUCCAGCGGGAGCUCCUAAGGUUACCAUUGCCAGCAACUGAGGAUAAAUGGCUAUAUUGUCCAUGAAUUGUAUCCAAAACGUUGUACAAUGUUACCACCCUCAUGUCUGGCAGCCAUUACAAAAUUCUAUAAUGCACACAAGGUGUGCUAUUGUAAAGCGUAGCAAAUUAUCUCAUUAAUGUUUAGUCUAGAGUGAUAUUUGAGUGGAGCUCAGAAUACCAUAGUAGUCAAUAUUGCAAAGUACUAUUGAAUAAAAUGUUUUUAUGCUCUCUUUACCUAGUACGAAAAAGUGCCUGAUAGCUUUUUCAAAAGCAUUAGUUUAUUUUUAUUAAAUCUUAUUGCAUAGGGUAUAUGUCUCCUUUAAGUUUUAGGUUGCAGUUUUAGCCUUGUCCACACUACCACUGUCUCUGGCUGGCCAAAACCUUCUCGUUCACUUUGUACUGUAAUAUAAUACCUUAAAACAGUGCUGUCCAACUUCUUUGGGAGCAAGGGCUACAUUUUUUCUGGCCUGCAUAGUGGAAGGCCGAUAAUGGAAGAUAGUUUUGGCCACUUCAUUUUUUUUUUAAACCACACCCAUGUUAUAAAAGAGAGGGAAAGGUAAAAACAAAGUUAGCUUUAUUAUAAAGGUCUAUGGAAAUACAGAACUUCUGCUCUGAGUCCUCAAUGAAAAGAAGCACAACAUUUCUUUCCUUCUAUUCUUAUACAUGACUGUGUCAGACUUCCCUCUCUCAGCAAAAUCCUUCCUUCAGGGA